GGGGGCGUACUUGGCUUCGACGGGGAUCGUUCUAGGGUAGAUAAGCAGGCCGCAGUGCCCAAAACUGCGUUAAAAAAGUGGGGUUUAAAAAUAAACGCUAAAAACGAAAACACACAAUUAGCUGCUGCUUAACGCAGCUACGUCCAGUAUCCGCUCUCUCAUCGGCUGAUAUGCGGGCGCCAAUUUAGAUGGGGAACUGCUUUAUCCUUGCUCCGGGGAUGAAGAUGGAUUAUUGGAGCUACUCAAUGGCUGCCUGUGGAGAGGGCAUGCCGGAGGGGAAAUAUCGUGCUCUCCACUAAGCCUGUAGAAAGUUUAUCAAAGAGGUUUUCGGACAGGGGUUCGACUCCCCUCGCCUCCACCA
Molecule: transfer-messenger RNA, 361 nt
Filed under: Guopingia tenuis
Lineage: Bacteria; Bacillati; Bacillota; Clostridia; Christensenellales; Christensenellaceae
Description: Standard tmRNA
Rfam family: transfer-messenger RNA
About the family: Bacterial tmRNA, also known as 10Sa RNA or SsrA, is named for its dual tRNA and mRNA-like properties.
Source: Rfam by way of RNAcentral